RNAcentral lists this ribosomal RNA (258 nucleotides) under uncultured bacterium. RNAcentral describes it as "partial 16S ribosomal RNA". It matches the Rfam family "Bacterial small subunit ribosomal RNA", at positions 524 to 776 of the family's 1533-position model. The record is from RNAcentral.
UACGGGGGGAGCAAGCGUUGGUUCGGAUUUACUGGGCGUAAAGGGCGCGGUAGGCGGUCAGCACAAGUCAGUUGUGAAAUCUCCGGGCUUGAACUCCGGAAAGGUCAACUGAUACUGUGCGACUAGAGUGCAGAAGGGGCAACUGGAAUUCUCGGUGUAGCGGUGAAAUGCGUAGAUAUCGAGAGGAACACCUGCGGCGAAGGCGGGUUGCUGGGCUGACACUGACGCUGAUGCGCGAAAGCCAGGGGAGCGAACGGG